Entelurus aequoreus (snake pipefish) is the source of this 803-nucleotide long non-coding RNA. RefSeq lists it as uncharacterized. The transcript is spliced from 3 exons. Lineage: Eukaryota; Metazoa; Chordata; Actinopteri; Syngnathiformes; Syngnathidae. The record is from RefSeq and is a predicted model, not a curated record.
AAUAUGUGUAUCAUAUUAGAAAAAUUACUUUAGAGUUACAAUGCAUGCCAUUUUGUGUUUUACACUACAGCAUCUAUUCUGACAGCAAGAAGCAGCACAUUUGCUGCUGAGAGACAGACUCAACAUGUAGAUCCAGAUACAUUUCAAAGUGAAAGUGGGACGGCGUGGCGCGGUUGGGAGAGUGUCUGUGCCAGCAACCUGAGGGUUCCUGGUUCAAUCCCCACCUUCUACCAUCCUAGUCACGUCCGUUGUGUCCUUGAGCAAGACAUUUCACCCUUGCUCCUGAUUGGUCCUGGUUAGCGCCUUGCAUGGCAGCUUUUGCCAUCAGUGUGUGAAUGGGUGAAUGUGGAAAUAGUGUCAAAGCGCUUUGAGUUCCUUAAAAAAGGAUAAUGAAGCAUCAGACUCAAUGUCACAUUUCAACAACCUGAAGACACCUCAGCUUCAACAAAUACUUGUGAAUCUAUCAAAGCUGCCCCUAUUAAUCCUGCUAAAUGGCCACACCAUUUGACUGACACACUAAGAAUUAAAUUACUUAGUCGAGGACCUUAUGAGGUGAACUCAGACAUCACAUUCCCGAAAAGAUAUGAUGGAAAACGUUUCCAUCACCACUACUUUUACAGACAUUUAGUAAAUAGAGAGAAAAUUAAGAGAACAUAGCUGAUGUAUUCCCCAAUUUUACCCUCAUGCCAUCUGCACUACAUUAACAUUUUUUUCUUUUUUUUAUUCUCAGGGAAAUUACUUAAAUGGUUUAUAUUUUUUUUGUAAUUGCAUUUUUUUGUUUUGACAUGUCAAAUAAAUCAUUG